AGUGAACGCUGGCGGUAGGCCUAACACAUGCAAGUCGAACGGCAGCACAGUAAGAGCUUGCUCCUACGGGUGGCGAGUGGCGGACGGGUGAGGAAUACAUCGGAAUCUACUUUUUCGUGGGGGAUAACGUAGGGAAACUUACGCUAAUACCGCAUACGACCUACGGGUGAAAGCAGGGGAUCUUCGGACCUUGCGCGAUUGAAUGAGCCGAUGUCGGAUUAGCUAGUUGGCGGGGUAAAGGCCCACCAAGGCGACGAUCCGUAGCUGGUCUGAGAGGAUGAUCAGCCACACUGGAACUGAGACACGGUCCAGACGCCUACGGGAGGCAGCAGUGGGGAAUAUGGGACAAUGGGCGCAAGCCUGAUCCAGCCAUACCGCGUGGGUGAAGAAGGCCUUCGGGUUGUAAAGCCCUUUUGUUGGGAAAGAAAAGCAGCAGGUUAAUACCCCGCUGUUCUGACGGUACCCAAAGAAUAAGCACCGGCUAACUUCGU
RNAcentral lists this ribosomal RNA (491 nucleotides) under uncultured bacterium. RNAcentral's name for it is "partial 16S ribosomal RNA". It matches the Rfam family "Bacterial small subunit ribosomal RNA", at positions 29 to 506 of the family's 1533-position model. The record is from RNAcentral.